UGGACUUCUUUAGGGGGUGGGGGUGCAUGAGAAUUUCGCCUAUGCCUCCUAGAAGUAGAAGGCUGAUGAGUGUAAUAAUCACCCAUACUCAAAGGUAUCCCUCCCUCUUGAGAAUUUUCACUUUCACUUCCCCUAGGCUUAUUUUNCCUUAUCAAUCUCAACUCAUCUUGAAUGACAGCAUUUUGAAGCUCUCUAUUGAUUCUUUCUUGAUGCAUUUCCUUCCUCCUUUCAGUAAAUUGAAUGACUAAAGUUUGAAGAUUAAAACUUUUUGUUUGAUUUUCACUAUCACUAAUCCUAGGAGAAUGCCUUCUAGACAUUAUGGUGGACUUAAAUGUUAUUCUUGAAAUAAAGACUAGAGAUUUUCACUUGAAAGCAAUAUUCCAGGUAAGGGAGGUGAAUGACUAGGAUUGCUUAAGUACCAAGCCUUAUCCUUGCCAAAUAUGCUUAUAGCUACUUACUAGAGUCCUUAGAUCAAAAUCACUCUUAAAUCCACUUAAGUCUUAAAGACAACAAAGAAAACACAAAGCAAAGAAAGGACACAACCUAAACUCUAAAUUCGGACCCCUAAGAGAGCUUCCUAUUCACACAAGAUAUUUGCUAUCUAGUCGAGAAUUGGAAAAGCAAUUAAAGUGAGGUCUCCUAGGUGAGGCUUAGACUUUGGAUCUAAGACACACUCACCAACUACUCAAUUUUAGGUUGAGACUUCUUUGAGUCUAGUUACAAAUGAGGGAAGAGCACUUGUGAACUCUAGCACCUCACUUGCUUGGAUUUGGAACUUAAAACCAAAGAAACCAAUGGAAAUUACAAAAGCAAUUUGGUGAAUUGGAAAAGGAAAUUAAACUAGACUAAGGAAUUGAUGUGUGCAGCUUCGGUUGCUCUCAAAGAACUUGAAUCUGCUGGAUUCAACCACAAAACUCU
RNAcentral lists this long non-coding RNA (918 nucleotides) under Vigna radiata. Its description in RNAcentral is "long non-coding RNA (VRAD_LNC017829)". Lineage: Eukaryota; Viridiplantae; Streptophyta; Magnoliopsida; Fabales; Fabaceae. The record is from RNAcentral.